This 75-nucleotide transfer RNA is filed under the name mine drainage metagenome. RNAcentral describes it as "tRNA-Val". It matches the Rfam family "tRNA". Rfam says of the family: Transfer RNA (tRNA) molecules are approximately 80 nucleotides in length. Their secondary structure includes four short double-helical elements and three loops (D, anti-codon, and T loops). The record is from RNAcentral.
GGGCCGGUCGUCUAGCGGUUAGGACGUCGCGCUUACAACGCGGAGAUCGCGGUUCGAAUCCGCCCCGGCCCACCU